This is a long non-coding RNA of Cygnus olor (mute swan), 4029 nucleotides long. RefSeq lists it as uncharacterized. The transcript is spliced from 4 exons. The record is from RefSeq and is a predicted model, not a curated record. NCBI's taxonomy places the organism in Eukaryota, Metazoa, Chordata, Aves, Anseriformes, Anatidae.
UACAGUGGACACACCGAAGCGGUGCGCUAGUAGUACUGACAUCCUGGGCCUCUUGGGUCCCGGCAGCAGCCUGGCUACAGCAGCGGUGGAGCCCAGGCUAGGAAGGAACACAGGUGACAGAACAGAAGGUUGCUGGUCCACAAAGAGCACUGGUUAAAGGAUGUGUCCUGGGCCAGGACCUGAACACAUGGCAUUAGUUUUCUGACGUUCUGCUAGCAAGCCUGGGAAUGACAGAGAUGCUCUCUGUGCCAUUCUGGAUGACAGAAGAUUUAUGCCUGAGUCACUUGUAGACAGCUGCUCAAAAGGCUGCAGGUCCUAGCAGAAAGCUACAGCUUCUAGCCAGAUAUCUACUUGGAUAUAGGGCUCGAAGUGUCUUUGAGUGACUGCAUGAAAGAAAAUCUGCAAGAGAAGCUGCCCGGGAAAGGGCAGACUCAUGACCAUCUUGUCUGUGGAGUGCUGCUUGCCUUUACGAUGGUUGGCUGUGUCCUUGAACCACAAACCAAACCAUUUCCAGAGGCUGGCAUUCUUCUCUGAGAUCUCCAGACAGAGCUGUGGCUGUGAUGACCAGGCCUGUUGCUUGGCGGUGCCAAGACGAAGGAAAGCUACCAGUUGUUGUCGUGCUGUACAGAUGCAGCAGGAGUCAGCCGUGAACACAGGUGAGACCUGGCCUGUGUUCAGGAGCCCAGCAAGAAACGUGCCUGAGCCUUGUGCAGGUGUGUGCCUUGGAGACAGCCACACAUCAGCCACCUGAGGUCCCCUUCCUGGCAUGGCAUGGGGUGCCCUCUAAAUUCAGGAGGCUCUAACAAGUUCCAGGCAGGAUGAGGAUUUAGAGUGGCAGGUGCAUUUUAGAAACAUAGGGUUCAAAUUACUGGUUUUUCCAAGCUCACUGCCUACUACAGACUGCCCUAAUAGGUAAAGUCUCCUCUGUCACUGCCCUCUGUAAGGACACAGAGCGUUGACCUGGCAGCAGCAAGCCUGGGUCACACAAGGAUCUGCCACUGUCACAGUGUCCCGAGCUCUCCCAGGCAGAGGAGCAGGGCUCCUCUGCCCAAGCAUGCACUGAGGUCAUGGAGCAAGGUGAGCCCAAAUGCCAUGCCAAGGGACAUUUCUAUUUCUAAGCGACUUGCUGUGGCAGCAGCUGUGUUACUUGCAAAGGAAGCUUUUUCGGAUUUUUACGGAUUUUUUUCCCUUUCUUUCUAGUUUAGUUAAAAUAAAGUAGUUGUGGAUGUAAGUGCACGGCUGGUUUCUGCAAAGAAAAAAAUACACAACAUUUACUGCAAGCAGGAGGCUGCUGCUCAGCUCUGCUACCUGGCACAGCCAGGGCUGACUUACUGCAGACCGGCACAUCCCCAUCCUCAGUCCUCAGCCUCGCAGUGGUGGAGCUGGCUAGGAUGCUCUGCGCCAACCCCAACUCCUCCAGCCACUGCCAAAGCCCUCGCAGGCCCUGCGUUGUCCUGGUAUCUCGGGGAGGUGGUCCUGCAGCUCCCGGCGAGCGUCCCCGCUGAGGCAGGCAUCACCUCGCCACCCGCCUUGGCCGCUGGGCGAUUCCUGGCAGAGGUGACUCACAGGCAGGGAACCCUGCGAGGGCCCUGGCACAUGCCUGCACUGAAACACUGCCUACAGCCUCCUGCCUCUGCCCAGCUCGCCCUUCCUGCCGCCUUUCCCCCGGGGUCCUAACUCCCGACUUUGUUGCUCUAUAAACAUAAUAACAAUAAUUAUUCUCUCAUUGGACACAUAGCCAUCUUCUUUGUUUGCAGGCUUAGAUAAAUAUCAUUCAAAUCAUGGAGUCUGAUUCAUGAGUCAGGCUGAUGGCAGCCCUCCAAAACCUCCUUGCCCAUGGAGAGUGUGUUUGUGUGAGAGAGAGAGAGAGUUUCACUGUAUGAAGAGUAAGAAACUGGAAGCCAAGUGAAUUAAAUACAAAGCAGAUAAUUAUGUGUAAUUCAUUUACUGACUAAUGAUUGCACCUGGUACAGAGGUUUAUGAAUUCAUUUCACUCUGCAUAUGUUCUCAAAAACAAUCCCUCUGCUACAAGAUAAAAACUAGGCUGACAAUUCUUAAUAGAACAGUGUUUACAUUAGUGUUAAUGUAAGGUUCUGUCUUUCUGGUUCAUUCUUCAUUUUUUCUCAUGAUGUUUCACUUUUCCUGGGUUCACCUGGUGUCUCUUUGACAGUGACAACUGAUCCGUGGUGGUAGAGGCUGGGUGUCACUGCAGAAUGAAGCCUUCACUCUGCUCCUGAAAGCUGUGCAGUGCAAUUACACACACUGCUUAUCUCCCAUCUGCUGCAGCCAAACCUUGCCACCAAGGCUGUGCCUUCGGCAGGGGAGUGGCAGGUCACGGCCCCCCCCUUCCCUCUCUACUGGGAUUGCCAACAACUUGCCGCUCUUUUUAUGGUGUCACCCAGUUGUCACUGCACCCUGAUGCCAUCAGCUCCUUCCAGCUGAAUGCCAGCAGACAGUGCCAACUUUCACCUGCUAACACCUGGGUUGAUUACAGGUUGAAGACCAAAAUACAAAGCCUUUAACAGGGUGAAAAAGCUUGUGCUAAUUCAGCGAAGCACAGCGGUGAUGUCUCAGUGUUGAUGUCACCCUGAAGACUGCAGCCUCUGUGACACGACACCACUCGUGCCGUGAGCAGGUCAAGUGUGGAGAUCUGAGCCAUGCUGGGCAAAGCCAUGGGUCCGAGGCCUUGCUGGGUGCUUGCGGCAACUACCCAAGGUGAUGCUGUUGCCAUGUGGUGGAAACAAAAGAGCUUUUCCAGUUGUGUUCCCAGUGCAAUCCUUGGGGGCACAGUAGAGCCCCUCUCCCUGCCCCUCAGUGUGCCACAGGCAGCUCACCUUGGUAAUUCCCCCCACCAUGCAAACAAAUCUAUACACUCAAUUACUUGUUCAGGUUCCCUGUGAUAGCUGUUGCUCAAACCAACAGGCAUUUGGCUGUUUCCUGCCAAGCGUAUCAGGAUCAUCAUAUACCUGGGAUCUAUUUAUUAAUCAGCUCAAGCACAAGGUGCACGAGAGCUAAAUGUAUGUUUGUGCAAGUGGGGGAGGGCUACAUCUGCAGACAUGGCUGAAUGCAGAUUUCUGUGGGAUGCCCCUUAAGACUGCCUUUGGAAAGGAACAAGCUUGGAAUGACAAAAGGGAAGGAGGAAGUUAUUUGGCAGUUUGAUUAGAGACUGUUUAAUAAAUCAUGAACUACUCAUACUGAAAGAAUAUGCUGAUUUCACUUAUAUGCACUUUCUAGUGUUAUUUGCCAUUGAGGUUUUACCAAAGUGCAGUGAAGCUGAGCUCGUGGCUGCCAAUAAAAUAGCUGUAGUGUCUGAUGUAACUCCCACUGCUGCAAGAACACACUUGGAGGUGUCUCCUUGGAGCUGUCACCAACAUUAGAGUGUGGUGACAGGAGAGAGUCACUGCCUCUUGCUGUCAGAGCGUCACUGAGCUCACUGCACACCCAGCAACUCCUCUGGCUGGUGCAGAGGCUGCACGCCCCGUCUCCAGAAGGGAGCUGGCCCUACAACUUGCAGCCUGCUUGGAAAAGUGGUGGAGGUGCUGCUUUCUCCAUCCGUGGCAGCCGCAGGUAAUGAAAACAUCAGCAAUUAAAAAAAAAGAAAAAAAGUAACUGUAUGCUCUGAUAUUUUUCAUUGGAGUGAUCUGUCAUUAGAAAAGCCAAAACCAGCUCAUCUUGUUCACGAGUAUUCCCAUUGACUAAAACAACAUUCAGCGUGUGCUUUAAUUUUGAACAUAUGCAAUCCUUUACCGAUGAAGAUCUGACAAGCCAGAACAGAUUGCAGUCUGUGAGAUACUUGCAAUAUGAUAGUAUUUUACCUGUAGGUGGAUCCUCAUUUUAGAUAGCGAGAUGAAGAGCCAAUGAGCCUGAUUCACUGCUGCGUUACUCCAGUUUUGCACUGGAAUAACACCACUGAAUCAUCAGCAAAGUUGAAAUAACAAAUGAUAAAAUGGGACCAUUGUAUUUAAGUUUGCAGCAUGUAUAUGGAAAUAACUAGCUCUUUCUUGCAGAAUGAUUAAACUGUAUGGAUAU